Molecule: non-coding RNA, 148 nt
Filed under: Chlorocebus sabaeus (green monkey)
Lineage: Eukaryota; Metazoa; Chordata; Mammalia; Primates; Cercopithecidae
Source: Rfam by way of RNAcentral
GCCGGGUGUGGUGGCGCGCACCUGUAAUCCUAGCUACUCAGGAGGCUGAGACAGGAGAAUUGCUUGAACCUGGGAGGUAGAGGUUGCAAUGAGCUGAGAUCACGCCAUUGCACUCCAGCCUGGGCAACAGAGCGAGACUCUGUCUCAA